This 2904-nucleotide ribosomal RNA is filed under the name Escherichia coli. Its description in RNAcentral is "23S ribosomal RNA". It matches the Rfam family "Bacterial large subunit ribosomal RNA". Lineage: Bacteria; Pseudomonadati; Pseudomonadota; Gammaproteobacteria; Enterobacterales; Enterobacteriaceae. The record is from RNAcentral.
GGUUAAGCGACUAAGCGUACACGGUGGAUGCCCUGGCAGUCAGAGGCGAUGAAGGACGUGCUAAUCUGCGAUAAGCGUCGGUAAGGUGAUAUGAACCGUUAUAACCGGCGAUUUCCGAAUGGGGAAACCCAGUGUGAUUCGUCACACUAUCAUUAACUGAAUCCAUAGGUUAAUGAGGCGAACCGGGGGAACUGAAACAUCUAAGUACCCCGAGGAAAAGAAAUCAACCGAGAUUCCCCCAGUAGCGGCGAGCGAACGGGGAGGAGCCCAGAGCCUGAAUCAGUGUGUGUGUUAGUGGAAGCGUCUGGAAAGGCGCGCGAUACAGGGUGACAGCCCCGUACACAAAAAUGCACAUAUUGUGAGCUCGAUGAGUAGGGCGGGACACGUGGUAUCCUGUCUGAAUAUGGGGGGACCAUCCUCCAAGGCUAAAUACUCCUGACUGACCGAUAGUGAACCAGUACCGUGAGGGAAAGGCGAAAAGAACCCCGGCGAGGGGAGUGAAAAAGAACCUGAAACCGUGUACGUACAAGCAGUGGGAGCACGCUUAGGCGUGUGACUGCGUACCUUUUGUAUAAUGGGUCAGCGACUUAUAUUCUGUAGCAAGGUUAACCGAAUAGGGGAGCCGAAGGGAAACCGAGUCUUAACUGGGCGUUAAGUUGCAGGGUAUAGACCCGAAACCCGGUGAUCUAGCCAUGGGCAGGUUGAAGGUUGGGUAACACUAACUGGAGGACCGAACCGACUAAUGUUGAAAAAUUAGCGGAUGACUUGUGGCUGGGGGUGAAAGGCCAAUCAAACCGGGAGAUAGCUGGUUCUCCCCGAAAGCUAUUUAGGUAGCGCCUCGUGAAUUCAUCUCCGGGGGUAGAGCACUGUUUCGGCAAGGGGGUCAUCCCGACUUACCAACCCGAUGCAAACUGCGAAUACCGGAGAAUGUUAUCACGGGAGACACACGGCGGGUGCUAACGUCCGUCGUGAAGAGGGAAACAACCCAGACCGCCAGCUAAGGUCCCAAAGUCAUGGUUAAGUGGGAAACGAUGUGGGAAGGCCCAGACAGCCAGGAUGUUGGCUUAGAAGCAGCCAUCAUUUAAAGAAAGCGUAAUAGCUCACUGGUCGAGUCGGCCUGCGCGGAAGAUGUAACGGGGCUAAACCAUGCACCGAAGCUGCGGCAGCGACGCUUAUGCGUUGUUGGGUAGGGGAGCGUUCUGUAAGCCUGCGAAGGUGUGCUGUGAGGCAUGCUGGAGGUAUCAGAAGUGCGAAUGCUGACAUAAGUAACGAUAAAGCGGGUGAAAAGCCCGCUCGCCGGAAGACCAAGGGUUCCUGUCCAACGUUAAUCGGGGCAGGGUGAGUCGACCCCUAAGGCGAGGCCGAAAGGCGUAGUCGAUGGGAAACAGGUUAAUAUUCCUGUACUUGGUGUUACUGCGAAGGGGGGACGGAGAAGGCUAUGUUGGCCGGGCGACGGUUGUCCCGGUUUAAGCGUGUAGGCUGGUUUUCCAGGCAAAUCCGGAAAAUCAAGGCUGAGGCGUGAUGACGAGGCACUACGGUGCUGAAGCAACAAAUGCCCUGCUUCCAGGAAAAGCCUCUAAGCAUCAGGUAACAUCAAAUCGUACCCCAAACCGACACAGGUGGUCAGGUAGAGAAUACCAAGGCGCUUGAGAGAACUCGGGUGAAGGAACUAGGCAAAAUGGUGCCGUAACUUCGGGAGAAGGCACGCUGAUAUGUAGGUGAAGUCCCUUGCGGAUGGAGCUGAAAUCAGUCGAAGAUACCAGCUGGCUGCAACUGUUUAUUAAAAACACAGCACUGUGCAAACACGAAAGUGGACGUAUACGGUGUGACGCCUGCCCGGUGCCGGAAGGUUAAUUGAUGGGGUCAGCGCAAGCGAAGCUCUUGAUCGAAGCCCCGGUAAACGGCGGCCGUAACUAUAACGGUCCUAAGGUAGCGAAAUUCCUUGUCGGGUAAGUUCCGACCUGCACGAAUGGCGUAAUGAUGGCCAGGCUGUCUCCACCCGAGACUCAGUGAAAUUGAACUCGCUGUGAAGAUGCAGUGUACCCGCGGCAAGACGGAAAGACCCCGUGAACCUUUACUAUAGCUUGACACUGAACAUUGAGCCUUGAUGUGUAGGAUAGGUGGGAGGCUUUGAAGUGUGGACGCCAGUCUGCAUGGAGCCGACCUUGAAAUACCACCCUUUAAUGUUUGAUGUUCUAACGUUGACCCGUGAUCCGGGUUGCGGACAGUGUCUGGUGGGUAGUUUGACUGGGGCGGUCUCCUCCUAAAGAGUAACGGAGGAGCACGAAGGUUGGCUAAUCCUGGUCGGACAUCAGGAGGUUAGUGCAAUGGCAUAAGCCAGCUUGACUGCGAGCGUGACGGCGCGAGCAGGUGCGAAAGCAGGUCAUAGUGAUCCGGUGGUUCUGAAUGGAAGGGCCAUCGCUCAACGGAUAAAAGGUACUCCGGGGAUAACAGGCUGAUACCGCCCAAGAGUUCAUAUCGACGGCGGUGUUUGGCACCUCGAUGUCGGCUCAUCACAUCCUGGGGCUGAAGUAGGUCCCAAGGGUAUGGCUGUUCGCCAUUUAAAGUGGUACGCGAGCUGGGUUUAGAACGUCGUGAGACAGUUCGGUCCCUAUCUGCCGUGGGCGCUGGAGAACUGAGGGGGGCUGCUCCUAGUACGAGAGGACCGGAGUGGACGCAUCACUGGUGUUCGGGUUGUCAUGCCAAUGGCACUGCCCGGUAGCUAAAUGCGGAAGAGAUAAGUGCUGAAAGCAUCUAAGCACGAAACUUGCCCCGAGAUGAGUUCUCCCUGACCCUUUAAGGGUCCUGAAGGAACGUUGAAGACGACGACGUUGAUAGGCCGGGUGUGUAAGCGCAGCGAUGCGUUGAGCUAACCGGUACUAAUGAACCGUGAGGCUUAACCUU